This 799-nucleotide unclassified non-coding RNA is filed under the name Hevea brasiliensis (rubber tree). Lineage: Eukaryota; Viridiplantae; Streptophyta; Magnoliopsida; Malpighiales; Euphorbiaceae. The record is from RNAcentral.
GAAAAACAAAAAAUUUACAUAACUGUUCUCUUCCCUACAAACGCAUUUGAGAUCUGAAUCUAACAAGAGCAGAGAGUUCAUUUGAGAAAUCGUUCCCAACCGGAAGAUAGCAAAAAUGGCGUCAACCGGACCAGACCCAUUGUUCGGACUGAGAAACAACUUCUACAUAGGGGCGUACCAAGCAGCCAUUAACAACAGCGACGUACCAAAUCUCUCCGCUGACGAUGCUGUCGAAAGGGAUACCCUUGUUUACAGAUCUUACAUUGCACUUGCCAGUUACCAGCUUGUGAUCAGUGAGAUCGAUGACUCUGCUGCUACACCUCUUCAAGCUGUCAAAUUGCUUGCUUUGUACCUUUCUAGCCCUGAUAACAAGGAAACAGUAAUCACAAGCCUUCAUGAAUUAUUAGGAGAUUCAGCCAUCGGGAACAAUCCUAUCUUACGGCUUAUUGCUGGGAUUGUAUUCAUGCAUGAGCAGGAUUACAAUGAAGCUUUGAAGCAUACAAAUGCUGGAGGGACGAUGGAAUUGCAUGCUUUGAAUGUCCAGAUAUUCAUUAAGAUGCAUAGGUCCGAUUAUGCAGAGAAACAGUUGAGAAUCAUGCAACAGGCUGAUGAAGAUCAUACCCUAACUCAACUUGCAAAUGCAUGGCUAAAUUUAGCAGUGGGUGGUUCAAAGAUACAAGAAGCUUAUCUUAUCUUCCAAGAUUUCUCAGAGAAGAACCAGAUGACAAGCCCAAUCCUGAAUGGGAAGGCUGUUUGCUGCAUGCACAUGGGGAAUUUUGACGAAGCUGAGACACUGUUG